This 460-nucleotide ribosomal RNA is filed under the name uncultured bacterium. Its description in RNAcentral is "partial 16S ribosomal RNA". It matches the Rfam family "Bacterial small subunit ribosomal RNA", at positions 338 to 795 of the family's 1533-position model. The record is from RNAcentral.
CCUACGGGAGGCAGCAGUGAGGAAUAUUGGUCAAUGGGCGAGAGCCUGAACCAGCCAAGUCGCGUGAAGGAUGAAGGAUCUAUGGUUUGUAAACUUCUUUUAUAUGGGAGUAAAGUGAGGAGCGUGUUCCUUUUUGUAUGUACCAUAUGAAUAAGCAUCGGCUAACUCCGUGCCAGCAGCCGCGGUAAUACUGAGGAUGCGAGCGUUAUCCGGAUUUGUUGGGUGUAAAGGGUGCGUAGGUGGUUAAUUAAGUCAGCGGUGAAAGUUUGUGGCUCAACCAUAAAAUUGCAGUUGAUACUGGUUGACUUGAGUAUAUUAGAGGUAAGCGGAAUGCGUGGUGUAGCAGUGAAAUGCAUAGAUAUCACGAAGAACACCGAUUGCGAAGGCAGCUUACUAAACUAUAACUGACACUGAGGCACGAAAGCGUGGGGAUCAAACAGGAUUAGAUACCCGGGUAGUC